GACUCUAUGGCCCAAUGGAUAAGGUGUUGGUCUACGAAAUUAGAGAUUCUGGUUUUGAUCCCCAAUGGAGUCG
Molecule: transfer RNA, 73 nt
Filed under: Ipomoea nil (Japanese morning glory)
Lineage: Eukaryota; Viridiplantae; Streptophyta; Magnoliopsida; Solanales; Convolvulaceae
Rfam family: tRNA
About the family: Transfer RNA (tRNA) molecules are approximately 80 nucleotides in length. Their secondary structure includes four short double-helical elements and three loops (D, anti-codon, and T loops).
Source: Rfam by way of RNAcentral